CCAGGGGGGUCUGUAGUGACGCCUCAAGCACUGAGAUGCAGUGCCUUAGACCGCUGCGCCACUCGGGAGCCCAUUCCAUAACCUUACUAUGCAAAGGAUCAAGGAACGUUGGCGUUAUUGUGGUAUUGAUGACAUCACAAAUGGCCAAAAACAUACACUACAGCACAGUAUAUCCUUUUUAUUGAACAGGAAAAAAAAAUACAAAGCUUCUUAUGCAGUCUUUACCUAUCGCAGUGCAAUAAUGCAUCUAUCACCUCUAUGUACUGUAUAUACAGUUACUGUAUGUUGUUUUAUGUACUGCUUUGUUUCAAAUGAAUGUACAGAUUGGCAGGUAGAGAGGUAGAAGAGAGAGACAGAGACAGAGUGUUGACUUUUGAGAAGGUUUUUGUAGGUUUAUAUGUUAACCAAUGGGACACAAUGUUACCAUUUCUAAUACUGAUAUGUCGACUGUCCGGCACCAACAACAAACUAACAAUGGCUGGGGACAUCAAAAUGACAACAAAUACAGCAUGUAGAAACCAAGGGUUGUUGUCAGUAAUGUUGUAGAGACAAACAUCUGUGUGUACCACAACGAUGACGAUCAAGGCAGCCAAUAGGAAAGAUUCAUAAAAAGAGGCAUUCCACAAGAGAUGGUUGAGAGAAUGUUGCAGUCAGACGUUAGGUUGGGAUCGAGGUUGGGAUCGAGGUUGGGAUCGGACGAUAGGAGUAGGUUUGUUAAAUGACCAAACUCUUGCUGAAGCAAGGCCUGUAUUCUGCAAACAAUACUCUAAAUGCACAUGCACAUUUCAGUUUGCUUUAGAUUUUGUACUUUAUUUUAUCAAGUUUCACUUGAUUUUGCACUUCUUUGAUUCAUUCCAUAUUCCUAUGGCUCACAGUAUUGGACUGACUUUGAUUGGCUGAAACAGGUGUCAUUCACACAGAAACCUCACGCUUCUCCAUAAUCGGCAUAGUAACAGUAAGACCGCCGCCACACACUAAAACGCAACACACUAUAAUAGCCUUUUUAUGUUAUACAGUAAAAACAAUUAUCAGUAAAUGUAACCGUUGCACUUCAACCCUCUGGAGGCGUUGUAUUUCAAGGCAAGGGGUCACCAAGGCCACCGACAUCAUUCCACAUCUCUCCCUCCGCCCCGUAGCGGAUCACAUGGAGGAUCACAAACAGAGCAGGACCACAGGAGUGGGUCUAUCCUUGUCCCCUAACACGUAUGGCUCUAUGGGACUGCUGCAUCAGCAGAUUACUGACUAGUCACAUGUGGGCUGUAUUCAUUAGACGCCAAAGGGAAAGAAAAGGGGCUGAAACAGGAAGGGACUACCUGAGCUUGUCCAAUAAUGAUUUAUUUUCCAUUGCACUGCAAUUUGCUACAGUGUGCCCUAAUGAAUAAGACCCUGAUGUGUUGAAUCUCUGACUGACAGGGACACCUGGUAUUACGGUGACUUGGCACAUUGGGUAAGCAGGAGUAACCUUCUCACUGUCACGGCUGCGUCUUAAAUAGCACCCUAUUCAGAGUAAACACAUUUAGCUGAUUGGUUUUCCUUGUGACAGCGAGGGUUGUUGUCAGAACAUUCACAACAAGAAAGGAUGAAAUGCAACACGUCCAAAUGGGAAAAAUCAACGCUAUAUCAACAACACAAUAAUAGAAAUAGGGUGGCAUUUCAGAUGCAGCCACUGUGGCUUUGUUUCAGCCUUGAGUAAACCCCCCCUCCCCUGUGAGACCCCCUCCCCCUGCUAAUCAACACAGGAUGGCUAUGUCCCAAUCCCAAGUGUUGAUUGUAAUUAGUUCUUAAUAGAAUGUAUUUUACCAAGAGGGGGAGAUUUCUUAGUUUGGGACACAGCCUAUAUUUGGUUCCGGUUUAUUGGUAAUACGACUAACAACCAAUGAUUUUGUGUAUCAACAAUAUGUCUCAUGUACCCCUCCUGCAUUCUGUGUUAUUUAAAUAACUGAACACAAAAAAAACGAAAUAAAAGCGAUGACAGUAAUUAUGUCAAUGUUG
Molecule: long non-coding RNA, 1992 nt
Organism: Coregonus clupeaformis (lake whitefish)
Lineage: Eukaryota; Metazoa; Chordata; Actinopteri; Salmoniformes; Salmonidae
Exons: 2
Source: RefSeq, a predicted model, not a curated record